AGUGAAGCGGGAUGAGCUCAAAUUUAAAAUCUGGCUGGUUUACUAGUCCGAGUUGUAGUUUAAAGAAGCGUUUUCGGUGGCAGUCUCGGUAAAAGUCCUUUGGAAUAGGGCAUCACAGAGGGUGAGAAUCCCGUCUUUGACUGAGAAUAUGCUACUAUGUGAUACGUUUUCAAAGAGUCGAGUUGUUUGGGAAUGCAGCUCAAAAUGGGUGGUAAAUUUCAUCUAAAGCUAAAUAUUGGCGAGAGACCGAUAGCGAACAAGUACCGUGAGGGAAAGAUGAAAAGAACUUUGAAAAGAGAGUUAAACAGUGCGUGAAAUUGUUGAAAGGGAAACGCUUGAAACCAGUCAUGCGGCUGAGAAAUCAGUCUCUGACGAGGGGGAAUGGGAGAGGUGUGGACCGCAAGGCUGCUCUUUUUCAUAUCUUUUUCGGCAGGGAUGCACUUUUUCUUUCGCAGGUCAACAUCAGUUUGCUUUGCCGGACAAAACUCUUGGGAAGGUGACAGCUUAGGCUGUGUUAUAGCCCUGGAGCGAUACGGUGGAGCGGACUGAGGUUUUCGCAGCAUGUGCUCUCGGGCAAGGCUGAUUGGGUGCUAUGAGAUCGUUCAGGGUACAAUACAUGUAUUUUGCCUUGUGUCUUUUUUAUACUCGCUCAACUCGGCUCUUCCAUGCUUAGGAUGUUGACAUAAUGGUUUUAAUCGACC
Molecule: ribosomal RNA, 701 nt
Filed under: Mortierella macrocystopsis
Lineage: Eukaryota; Fungi; Mortierellomycota; Mortierellomycetes; Mortierellales; Mortierellaceae
Description: eukaryotic LSU rRNA
Rfam family: Eukaryotic large subunit ribosomal RNA
Source: RNAcentral